Gymnodraco acuticeps is the source of this 343-nucleotide long non-coding RNA. RefSeq lists it as uncharacterized. The transcript has 3 exons. The record is from RefSeq and is a predicted model, not a curated record. NCBI's taxonomy places the organism in Eukaryota, Metazoa, Chordata, Actinopteri, Perciformes, Bathydraconidae.
UGCUGAAGGAGGCUGGUGCUGGCAACGGCUGCAGGUGAUGACUGCUGAAAGAAGAGGAGGCUGGAGGCUGCUGACGGUGGACCGGGAAUGGAGAUGCCAAGUACAUCGAUGGCAACGAGUCAUGGCAUGAGGGAAGGUUGCUGUCCAGCAACAUGGCUUCUUGUUCCAGCUGUGACACUGCAUUUGAGGACUCCAUGAGGGAAUCGCUCGUCCUCACACGGAACAGCUGCUCCACGUUCUGAACAAGGGUGAAAACCUCAUCAGAUGGACGUUGCCUCAUUAGAUCCUCCACGUGAGCCCGGUCACAACUGGCCCUUGGCAGUCUGGUCCCUGGAGCACCUGA